CCUACGGGCGGCUGCAGUGGGGAAUAUUGGACAAUGGGCGAAAGCCUGAUCCAGCCAUGCCGCGUGUGUGAAGAAGGCCUUCGGGUUGUAAAGCACUUUCAGUGGGGAAGAAAGCCUUGGGGCUAAUACCCUCGAGGAAGGACAUCACCCACAGAAGAAGCACCGGCUAACUCCGUGCCAGCAGCCGCGGUAAUACGGAGGGUGCGAGCGUUAAUCGGAAUUACUGGGCGUAAAGCGCGCGUAGGCGGUCUGAUAAGCCGGUUGUGAAAGCCCCGGGCUCAACCUGGGAACGGCAUCCGGAACUUUCAGGCGAGAGUGCAGGAGAGGAAGGUAGAAUUCCCGGUGUAGCGGUGAAAUGCGUAGAGAUCGGGAGGAAUACCAGUGGCGAAGGCGGCCUUCUGGACUGACACUGACGCUGAGGUGCGAAAGCGUGGGUAGCAAACAGGAUUAGAUACCCGUGUAGUC
Molecule: ribosomal RNA, 465 nt
Filed under: Vreelandella stevensii
Lineage: Bacteria; Pseudomonadati; Pseudomonadota; Gammaproteobacteria; Oceanospirillales; Halomonadaceae
Description: partial 16S ribosomal RNA
Rfam family: Bacterial small subunit ribosomal RNA
Source: RNAcentral